CGGUUCAUUUGAAACUUCAACAUUGUCUAUUUGUAAGAAUGGAUCGAAAAAAUUGACUUUCUGUGAAAGAUCGUCUGAAUUUACUGCCAUUGCAACGACUGAUGUGUACAUGCCAUCUAUGAUAUUAUCUAUCGAUUCCUGAAAUGCAUCAGACGAUAUCUCAGUGUUGGACACCUGGAAAAUGCAAAUUGUUAGAUACAGCUACCAACUGAUAUAACAUUAUACUAACAUUAAUUGGAUCAAAGAGAUCCCAUAUGAAAUAUAUAUUGUAAUAAAUUUUUUAAAUUAUUUUUGUGUCGGAAUUUAACCAAAAAACACCCAUAUUAUGAAAAAAAUGGUAUGUAUCAUAAAUAAAUAUAAUAUGUCUGAUACAAUAUAUAUAGUCCGAAUUUUUUUUUAUAUAAUGUAUCAAAUAAAUUAACUAUUAUGCAUAACCUCUUUUAGAAAAGGAUAUUCCUAAUUAACAUAUAAUCCACAAACGUGUGUUAUAUAUACCUGCGGUUUAUUUCGAACUUCAAUAUUGUCUCUUGCUAAAAUAAGAUCAGAGAGAUUUUCUUUCUGUAAAAGCUCAUCAGGGAAACUUUCUUUCUGUAAAAGAUCAUUAGACUGUAUUGCAAUAACUGGUGAGAAAAUCUCAGCUAUGGUGUUAUCCGUGAAAUGUUAAAACGCAACAUUCUUAACCUCAGUUUCACUCUCCUAAAUUAUGAAAUUGGUUAGAUACAGUUGACAAAAAAUUUAAAAAUUAGUUAAAUGUUAAAGAACCUGUAAGACUUAUAUAGGUUGAAAUAAUAACAUUGUCAAGAAAGAAUUGGCAAAUAUAGCAAUCUUUUUGCAUUGAAUGUAUUAGUUGUACUACAUAUAAUGCAAAAUCUAAUUAACAUAAUGAUUUUCCACAUUAAUAACAUACACUCGAUAUAAUAAUUUUUUAUCAGUACCUUUUCUACAUUUUGAACUUCAAAAUUGUCUCCCUCGAAAUAACUGGAUCAUCAAAAUUGAAUUUCAGAGAAGAUCAGUUGAUGAUUUUUCAUCCCGCUUGUGAUCUUCAGUAGAUACAACAUUUCCAUCAUCAUUCUGAAACACAAAAAUUUUAUUACAUUAUAAAAAUAAUAAACGAUACACAUUUUUAACAUUUCUACUACUUUACUUUUUCUGGUAUAUCCUUUGAAUUUUCUUUUGGAGUUUUCAAAUCAUCAUCUGUCUCAUUUUUUUCACAUCUAUCGAUAUCAAUUGAAACCUGAAAAACAUAUAAUUUUUAAAAAGAUAAAUAUAUAUAAAAUUUAAUAAAAUUUGAUGUGAUUAUAUUAAAAGUUACUUUUUGUGGAGCAUCAUGCUUCUCCUUCACAGCUAACAUCAUCUCUUCAUGUUGUUUUUUCAUUUCUUCAUGAUGUUUUUUCAUUAAUGCUUCAAUAUCAUCAAAUCUUUAGUCAACAGGCAUAAGUUUAACAGAAUAAAUUAGAUAUGUUAAGAUAACCAAUUUUAAAAAUAAAAAUUCAUGUUGCACUUACAUGUCUUGACUUAUCAAUUGCAUUCAUAUCAACUUUCAGCAAAAUUUGCUCAUGAUUGAUUCAGUGUGGACACACGCACACUUUCGACAACUGGUGGUGUCUGUUCGCCGAAAUCCAUUAAAGAUGAUUCAUGUGGAGCUUCUUCAUUGAUUGGCCAGCAUUUGAGUUUGAUGUGACAGAAGGUGAUUUAUUGACUUCUUUAUUAGAGGGGUGGGCUUUAAUAUUUUCUUGACCUGUCACCGAUUCUUUUCG
RNAcentral lists this long non-coding RNA (1757 nucleotides) under Capsicum annuum. Its description in RNAcentral is "long non-coding RNA (CANN_LNC004269)". Lineage: Eukaryota; Viridiplantae; Streptophyta; Magnoliopsida; Solanales; Solanaceae. The record is from RNAcentral.